RNAcentral lists this unclassified non-coding RNA (250 nucleotides) under fungal sp. Its description in RNAcentral is "partial internal transcribed spacer region". The stretch from base 1 to 46 matches the Rfam family "Eukaryotic small subunit ribosomal RNA", at positions 1786 to 1831 of the family's 1831-position model. Lineage: Eukaryota; Fungi. The record is from RNAcentral.
AAGUCGUAACAAGGUUUCCGUAGGUGAACCUGCGGAAGGAUCAUUACACACAGUAGUUUUCUACUGCUUGAGGGAGCUGAAAGUUAUUUCAACGAGUAGGUUGCCUGUUUGUACCCUUGUCUUUUGCGCACCCUUUGUUUCCUCGGUGGGCUUGCCCACCGGUUGGACAACUAUAAACUCUUUUUAGUUGCAAUCAGCGUCUAAAUCAAUUUAAUAAUUACAACUUUCAACAACGGAUCUCUUGGUUCUG